This 254-nucleotide ribosomal RNA is filed under the name uncultured bacterium. Its description in RNAcentral is "partial 16S ribosomal RNA". It matches the Rfam family "Bacterial small subunit ribosomal RNA", at positions 524 to 776 of the family's 1533-position model. The record is from RNAcentral.
GACGUAGGGCGCGAGCGUUGUCCGGAUUUAUUGGGCGUAAAGAGCUCGUAGGCGGCUUGUUGCGUCGACUGUGAAAACCCGCGGCUUAACUGCGGGCUUGCAGUUGAUACGGGCAGGCUAGAGUUCGGUAGGGGAGACUGGAAUUCCUGGUGUAGCGGUGAAAUGCGCAGAUAUCAGGAGGAACACCGAUGGCGAAGGCAGGUCUCGUGGGCAUUAACUGACGCUGAGGAGCGAAAGCGUGGGGAGCGAACAGG